GGAAUAGUUUGCGUUUGUAUUGCUAAUUAACACAAGUUCCCAGUUAAGCGUGUGUGUGUGUGUGUGUGUGUGUAAGCAAAGGCCUAUACCCAAACAGCACUUCUAGAAAUACUAUCAAGUUUUAGCAUGCAGCAGGCAGGAGUUUGAUGUAAGCGCUUGAAUUAAAGGGUUACUUUGGGGAUUAGGAGAGACAUGACUCUGCGAGGACCACUUCCUUUCCAUAAGUACCAGCCUCUGCGUGCAGUUAUCUAAUGGAGGCCCAUGGAGAAUAAUCUGGAAACUAGAAGGCCUCGGGGAUCUCUAGUACACAAAAUUAAGACAAAAACAAACUCAGUGAAUGCAAAAAGAAAAAAAAUCAAACUACUUUUAAGAGUGCUAUGAAGCCAUCUAGGAAUGUUAAGAAAAUCCUACACACCUACUGGUGACUGUCUGCUCACAGAAUCUGAAUUCCAAAUGAGGACGAUGGGUACUCUCUCCAGAUCCUUGGGCACACAGGGAUGAGUGCUUAAUGCAGAAUCAACAUGCAGUUUCCACAAGAUGGGGAAGAAAACUUCAGGAAAGACAACAGCUAACAAACUAAGAAAUGACAGUUUAAAUUGGAAUUUGGAGAGCACCUUGUAAAUUGUUUGCACAGAUGUGGCAUUAUUUACAUGAUAAUUUCAUGCUCCUCAGCAUGCAGAGGAAAAUAAAACACAUUAGAUGCCAUAAUGGGAUCAUUAAUUAUAUAAAUGGAUCAAAGGUUGUUUCUAGAACAUUCCUGUUGCUUCAUUAUUGUUGUGCAAUUGGAAAUCUUAUUUAAUCCCCUCCUGGGAAAGACAGGUCAGAAAGACAAAGAGUUUCCUAGAUUUCCUAUAGGAAGAAUGAUGUCUACUACUGUCAAAAAUGUUUGAGGUACUCAGUUUCAUUUAUCCACAAGUCAAAGAAUUGGACCUGUUUUAGGACUAAACAGUUUCCACUCCUGUAAGAACAGACUAGAGCUCUGUCUAUGAUCCUUAUUUUGAAAUAAGUAUCAAACAAAGAAAUAAGCAUGUAUCAACCAAAAAGCACUGAGCUACUUUAACUUGAUAUUGCUACUGUUUCCUCAACCUCAGCUGAAUCAACUCCAUUUAAGUAUCAAUGCUAUGGAAGCAAAAAAGAGAGAGAGAGAGAGAGAAAAAAAAAAAGAUAGAUCACGCUGUGGCAUGCUCCAUUUCAGAAACACAGGAGGAAUUCUCUUCCCCCCUGCACUCACAUUUCAUCACUUACUUGCAAUUUCUGUAGAGUACUCUCAAACCAGGAAAGAUGGGGAGGCCAUGGGAUAGAUUCACAUUCAAGAGAUUCAAGACUCACCCUUCGGCCUGAAAAAUACUCUGUGUUGUCAAUCUGUAAAUGGAAUUAUAGCUCCACCAGCAAGAAGUCCUGAUGCCAAAGUGCCUGGGUGAACUGAAAUUAAAUGCCAAUGAAAAAUCCCUCUCUGCACAUCACCCUCCAUCUGCACGAGCCUUCCUAGCCUCUCCCAUUUGUCUUUAUCUUCAUUUAGAGCCAUGUAGUAUACUGCCUUUCACUCAAGGCACACUCCCUCACAGUCGUGAGUGGGUACGUAUUGUCCUUGUCACCCAUGGAGCUACAUGCGGGAAAGAAAUUACUUAUUGAUUUUCCUUUCUGUGGAAUGGUGUCUUUGGCUGGUUUCUUGGACCAGGACUCCAGCACUGGGGACAUAGUGCACCAUGCCGGGCUGUCCUGCUCCCCUGUCAGCCCUUCUAAGCAGCUGCUACUGCCAGGUCACCUGCUCCUAACUCUUUUGAUAAGAAAAAGGAAAGAGUAUGUACUUUGGAAAUUGAAACAGUGAACAAAAAGUAAUCUCCUUCCAUCUGAGCAGAUGGAACAGCAUGGUGUGAACUUUGUUUUACUCCUUGGUGCUAAGAAAAGUCUGGCUGGGAUGGGGUCUUGGUCUGUUUGGUGUUUCUAAGCCAGAAUCCCUGAGUCUGGGUAAUUUUUUUAAACAUAUAAAUUUACUUUUUCUAGUUAUGGAGGAAUGGGAAGUCCCACAUCAAGGAGCCAGCAUCUGGAAAGGGCCUUCUUGUCAUCAUCCCAUGGCAGAAGGGAGAGAGAGCAAGACAUCAAACUUGCUUUUGUAAGAAACCCUCGUACAAUGAAAUGGUUUUCUGAUAACAUUAAUCUAUUCAAGAGAACAGAGCCCUCAUGAGCACUCCCAAGACUGUUGUGUUGGGAAUUAAGUUUCCAACACCUAGACUUUGGAGGACACAUGCAAACUGCAGCAGAGGGCUCACCUGAAAGGAAGCUGACAUGCAGACAUGCAGGAAUGAACUUGGAGCCAUGUGCUCCGUGACACACAGGAGGACAUAAACCUGGGAAGGUGGGGGAACUCAGAGAAAGGGUCCUUCACGGCAGGCUGGAGUUUGUGCUUUACCCAGAGGCUGGCUAACUGUGGCCCGUGUUCCAGAUCUGGCCCACCCCCUGGUUUUGCAAAGUUUUUACUGGAAUGCAGCCACACUCGGUCUUCUAGGUAUUGCCUCACAGAUGAUUUUUUUUUGCACUACAGCCGAGUUGAAUGGUUGCAAGAAAGACUGCCCAGACCACAAAGCCUAAAAUGUUCACCAUCUGCCUCUUUAAAGAAAACUUUGUGAGUCCCUGUUUUAGCUACAGAGGGCCACUGGGACCUUUCAACAGUUGCUGUCUGUGAUGGGAGAGCCAGGGUCCUGCCUGGUCUCCCACACCACCCACCAGCUUCCCCUGUCCAUCUCAGCCCCACCCCAGCUGCCCAACCUGCCCUGCAUGGUAGGAAGGAGGAGGCUCAGUCCUUCUGAGGAGAUAAACAAAGACCGACCAAUGAGGACAAGCCAAGAGUUGGCUUCUGAGCUCAUUUCAGUUAGGGAGUCUGCCACCACCACUUGAUAUUCAGAAAGACUCAAAGACAAGAGGGGUGGGAAGGCAUUACCAUGGAGGAAGUAGAAGGCUCCAGGUGCACCCUGUUGAGAUGAGCAAGAUGAAGGGGCCAACUAGAAGCCAGGCGUCCACGUGACUGCUUAUGGGAACACGUUGGCUUUCUCCGGCUGAUCCAAAGUUGGAAGUGGGAGGAUGGGCAUUUGAGAUCCGUUGCUACAGCAGCUCUUGUUUGGCUUCCUGAUUUGUCCCUGGAGACAGUGGUCUGGCUGUCAACAGGUCUGACUUAGAGAGCAGGCUGAUUCCCUGGGUGGACUGCUGCAGGCUGGGGGUUAGUUCUGUUUUUCUACGUGGUCUGGCCACGUGUGAAUCUGUCUCUCCUGUUGAGCCAGGUGACAAUGGUCUUCUGCUGAUGAUGGCUGAAGAAUGCAGCACACCAUCCAUCCAGCCCAGCACACACUCCACCAGGGCACAACUGGCUGAGAGGCUCAGUCUACGUGGUUCGUUUUCCCACUCACCAUAAAGGAAUUCUAUUUGGAGAUGAUAACUCUGGUCCCAGAACCCUGAAGAAGUCGUCUGGCUCUCCAAGGUUCCUAUGUAAAGACCCACCUCACCUUCAUAGGACAUUCUCUCCAGACCUCCAUGUCCCCAGACCCAAACAAAGGCCACAGGUCCAGAGUCAGGUGCAUCCCCUUCUGAUUACCAACAGCAUCCCCACCACCACACCAGGGCCACGAGCAAGAAGUCCUGAUGCCAAAGUGCCU
RNAcentral lists this long non-coding RNA (3647 nucleotides) under Marmota monax (woodchuck). The record is from RNAcentral. Lineage: Eukaryota; Metazoa; Chordata; Mammalia; Rodentia; Sciuridae.